RNAcentral lists this long non-coding RNA (296 nucleotides) under Elaeis guineensis (African oil palm). RNAcentral's name for it is "long non-coding RNA (EGUI_LNC005749)". Lineage: Eukaryota; Viridiplantae; Streptophyta; Magnoliopsida; Arecales; Arecaceae. The record is from RNAcentral.
GCUCCUUCGACACCAGUUUAAUCAACCUGCUCCCUCGGAUAAGACGAAUCACUCGAAGCUUCCCAUGGGAGAGGGAUCUCGCACUUGUAUCUGUAGGGGCACGACAAUUAAAGCAUGAUGGAGGGACAACAGGACUCGGGAUGAAAGAAAGGACCGGCGUGAAGCAAUAGUGGCGUGUCUGUGGAGGAGACUGGGAUUGGAACAUGUGCACGUUUUGGUCGUGUCUCAAACCUUGGUUUAUUAGGUUGGCGGACUUUGACCGGACGUUGGAUUGGGAAGUAGAUGAUGGAGUUCGG